Molecule: ribosomal RNA, 330 nt
Filed under: Triticum aestivum (bread wheat)
Lineage: Eukaryota; Viridiplantae; Streptophyta; Magnoliopsida; Poales; Poaceae
Description: partial small subunit ribosomal RNA
Source: RNAcentral
AUGUCGCGGAUCGAUACAUCACUCUGGCCUGGGACGACGCUUCAGAACGACCUCGAGUCUCUGAUGGCUCGACUUAACGAAGUCCCAGGUCGAGUGGCGGAAUGGAAGAAAUCUUCUGCUAGAUGUGGUGCUGAUGUCGCUCUGUCUCUGGUCCGCGUCCACUGCAAGGAGGCGCGAGAAGAAAAGCUGGCGGCCAUCCAAGUUGCAAAUACCAGGAAGCACAGCUUUCAAGACUUCAUGGAGACUUUCAUCGCCGCUGCCACCCGUAUCGCCGACGGGAUCGACUUGGAUGAGUUCGUCGCCCCUUCCAGUCCUCCUCCUGAGGAGUGA